GCUCCCAUGCAGCCUGAAAGGCUGGUCUUACUCUUCCGGUGUCCCCUCCAAGUUUAUUUCCAGGCAGCCGGUGAGCAGGGCUGAGAACCUGCUCCAGGCUACAACCCCCCUCACUGAGAAAGCAAGCAGGCCUUUCAGGUUUUGUACCUCCCAGUCUGCCGCAUCUUCUGUGAUCAUAUCUGCACUCCCUGUUUGCCACCUUCACCAGAUUCUGUCCAGGAAACUUCACAUUCCAUCAAAGUUGUUACAAAGUUCAGCUGGAAGAUUCCUUUUCCCUGUGGUCUUUCCCCAAUUGCACUGGCAGUCCUCCCCAAGGACUCCUGGGAGACAAAGUCAGAAAUGGCUUCCCUGGGAAUGAGAGUGCCCACAGGGCUCUCCCCACUGCUUCCUCUACCCCUGUAUUUUGCUUGGCUCUCUUAAAUUCAUCUCAGCUCCAGAACACAUGGGAGUCCCACCAGCUUGAAAAAAUAUUUCACAGAGCUGGCAUUUCUAUCAGUGCAGACACGGCUCUGAAAACAGUAAUUGCUGCCUUAUGGAUAUGAUACUCUCAUUUCUACUCUGACCUCCUCCCAGGAGAAUCUCUUCUGCAAAUGACCACAGUACUUCACUUGAGUUCUGCGUCAUCCUCCUCCUAUUAGUUCAAGUGGUCUGCUAAGCGGUUCAUGAACCACUUCCCUCAGCUGACCCAGAUGAAGUAAGCUCUUCUUUGCUGCUAUGCCCAGAGCCCAGACAAGUUAAAAAUCUCAGCCUGACUUGGCCUGUUAUCCCUCAGCUUCCAGUCCUGACUCCAAGAUGCCUUCUUUCUAUAAGUCUUCACCCUACUGACUCAGGUUCCUACGAUGCACACCACUGUCUUCUGAGAACAGCACACAUGGGGCAGAGCAGAAUCAAGGGGAGAGAAAGAAGAGUUAACAACUCUCAGAAACCUGAAAAUAAAGAGGAUGUGGCUAGAAAUGGGACCUCAGAAAGUUCCACA
Macaca mulatta (Rhesus monkey) is the source of this 976-nucleotide non-coding RNA. The record is from RefSeq and is a predicted model, not a curated record. Lineage: Eukaryota; Metazoa; Chordata; Mammalia; Primates; Cercopithecidae.